AUGCAAGUCGAGCGAACCGACGGGAGCUUGCUCCCUUAGGUUAGCGGCGGACGGGUGAGUAACACGUGGGUAACCUGCCUGUAAGACUGGGAUAACUCCGGGAAACCGGGGCUAAUACCGGAUGCUUGAUUGAACCGCAUGGUUCAAUUAUAAAAGGUGGCUUCGGCUACCACUUACAGAUGGACCCGCGGCGCAUUAGCUAGUUGGUGAGGUAACGGCUCACCAAGGCAACGAUGCGUAGCCGACCUGAGAGGGUGAUCGGCCACACUGGGACUGAGACACGGCCCAGACUCCUACGGGAGGCAGCAGUAGGGAAUCUUCCGCAAUGGACGAAAGUCUGACGGAGCAACGCCGCGUGAGUGAUGAAGGUUUUCGGAUCGUAAAACUCUGUUGUUAGGGAAGAACAAGUACCGUUCGAAUAGGGCGGUACCUUGACGGUACCUAACCAGAAAGCCACGGCUAACUACGUGCCAGCAGCCGCGGUAAUACGUAGGUGGCAAGCGUUGUCCGGAAUUAUUGGGCGUAAAGCGCGCGCAGGCGGUUUCUUAAGUCUGAUGUGAAAGCCCCCGGCUCAACCGGGGAGGGUCAUUGGAAACUGGGGAACUUGAGUGCAGAAGAGGAGAGUGGAAUUCCACGUGUAGCGGUGAAAUGCGUAGAGAUGUGGAGGAACACC
RNAcentral lists this ribosomal RNA (673 nucleotides) under Bacillus haynesii. RNAcentral's name for it is "bacterial SSU rRNA". It matches the Rfam family "Bacterial small subunit ribosomal RNA", at positions 55 to 710 of the family's 1533-position model. Lineage: Bacteria; Bacillati; Bacillota; Bacilli; Caryophanales; Bacillaceae. The record is from RNAcentral.